Molecule: non-coding RNA, 65 nt
Filed under: Cohnella lupini
Lineage: Bacteria; Bacillati; Bacillota; Bacilli; Caryophanales; Paenibacillaceae
Source: RNAcentral
UAACUCUGCUUGCGAGAGCAGAUUGAACGUACAGAAGUCAGCAGAAGCCAUAGUGCGUGCGUGGC